UCAAACUUGGUCAUUUAGAGGAAGUAAAAGUCGUAACAAGGUCUCCGUUGGUGAACCAGCGGAGGGAUCAUUACCGAGUUAUAUAAAAACUCCAAAACCCUUUGUGAACCUUACCGUCGUUGCCUUGGCGUGAGCCGCGCUUACCCUACAAGUACCCUAUAGCUACCUACCCGGUAGGAACCUACCCGCGGUAGCUAGCCGGGGCGUAGCGCACUUUACGGCCCGCCAAAGGACAGCCUAAACUCUGUUUUUUUAUUACUGUGACAUGUCUGAAUGCGUAAACUAAAAUAAGUUAAAACUUUCAACAACGGAUCUCUUGGUUCUGGCAUCGAUGAAGAACGCAGC
RNAcentral lists this unclassified non-coding RNA (345 nucleotides) under uncultured fungus. RNAcentral's name for it is "partial contains small subunit ribosomal RNA, internal transcribed spacer 1, and 5.8S ribosomal RNA". The stretch from base 1 to 73 matches the Rfam family "Eukaryotic small subunit ribosomal RNA", at positions 1759 to 1831 of the family's 1831-position model. The record is from RNAcentral. Lineage: Eukaryota; Fungi.